This 1194-nucleotide long non-coding RNA is filed under the name Homo sapiens (human). RNAcentral's name for it is "HSALNT0307103". Lineage: Eukaryota; Metazoa; Chordata; Mammalia; Primates; Hominidae. The record is from RNAcentral.
GAGUAGCUGGGAUCACAGGCAUCUGCCACCAUGCCCGGCUAAUUUUUGUAUUUUUAGUAGAGACGGGGUUUCGCCAUGUUGGUCAGGUUGGUCUCGAACUCCUGACCUCAGGUGAUCCACCUGCCUUGGCUUCCCAAAGUGCUGAGAUUACAGGCUUGAGCCACCGCGCCCGGCCUUAAAAGCUGUUUUUUAUUUUUGUGACACCAAUAAACUGGAAUGUGGCAGAUAAGUUAUGUAAAACCAAAAAGAUAACAGAGAAUUUCUUUUUUUUUUUUUAACUUUCAUUUUAGGUUUGGGGGUACGUGUGAAGGUUGGUUACAUAGGUAAACGUGUCAUGAGGGUUUGUUUUACAUAUUAUUUCAUCACCCAGGUAUUAAGCUCAGUACCCCUUAGUUAUCGUUUGUGCUUCUCUCCCUCCCCACCCCGUCCCCCAGAAGGCUUAAUUUCUCUAGAUUUUUUUAAAACUAAAUUUCAUAAUCCAGAAGAAUGAGGUUUUACAGUUAGAAUGGAAAUAAUGCUACUAAAUACAAAAACAAAAUACAUACUUAAUACCCAACUGACAGACUGUGUUCUGUGUUCUAUUUGUAUUUUAAAUCUAUAUAAGUGUUUAGAGACUUAUGAAGUAAAUAUUUUGGUUUUUGCAGGACUUCUGUAGACAAGACAGAUACUGUAAAGACAGCAAAGAACAAACAGAAUGGCAGAUUGCUAAUGUUUGAUCCAAACGAAAAAGUGAUGAUUGAAUCAAACGAAGCAAUGUCAGAGUAAGAAGAUGUCUUUGAUUGUGCAGCUGAUCUCUCCCAUGCCUUUUAAGCAAUUAGAACUAGAUAAUGCAGCCAUUUGUCACCCAAUUAAAUUUGAAAGGCCAGAAAUGCAUGGAUUAGCACUUCAGCUUUUGCUGCAGUCAAAGCAAUUGUUACUAUAGAUAGAAGGACAGUUAAAAUGAAAAAUGAAUUUUGAUAAAAAUGCAGAAGUAUAGAUAAUAUUCACUUCUACUUUUUAAUGCUUAAACACCCUGUAUUCUGUAUUUUACUUGUAUCAUAAUUUUCAUUGCUCAUUCCUAUUUCCCUUUGAUACUUAUUUCUUUCACAAUAUUUCUUCAAGUGAAUAUGUACUUUAAAAUUAACAAAUUAUUUACUAUAACAUGAAUUGUUACUACUCAAUAAAGAAAGUAAUCACCUCAACUAGUUGAAGAAA